UGGGCAGCACAGGUAGCAAUACUGGGUGGCGACCGGCAAACGGGCGCGGAACUNGUACGCAACCUUUCUCUAAGUGGGGAAUAGCCCGAAGAAAUUCGGAUUAAUACCCCGUAAUAUUGUUGGAUGGCAUCAUCUGGCAAUUAAAGAACUUCGCUUGGAGAUGGGCGUGCGUCUGAUUAGGUAGUUGGUGAGGUAACGGCUCACCAAGCCGACGAUCAGUAACUGGCGUGAGAGCGCGACCAGUCACACGGGCACUNAGACACGGGCCCGACUCCUACGGGAGGCAGCAGUAAGGAAUAUUGGUCAAUGGACGCAAGUCUGAACCAGCCWUKCCGCGUGAAGNGAUGAAGGUCCUCUGGNAUUGUAAACUUCUUUUAUCUGGGAAUAAACCACUGUUUAUCUAAAGGUGUUGACGGUACCAGAGGAAUAAGCACCGGCUAACUCCGUGCCAGCAGCCGCGGUAAUACGGAGGGUGCAAGCGUUAUCCGGAUUCACUGGGUUUAAAGGGUGCGUAGGCGGAUUUGUAAGUCCGUGGGUGAAAUCUCCAGGCUUAACCUGGAAACUGCCGUGGAUACUAUAAAUCUUGAAUGUUNUGGAGGUUAGCGGAAUAUGUCAUGUAGCGGUGAAAUGCAUAGAUAUGACAUAGAACACCAAUUGC
This 658-nucleotide ribosomal RNA is filed under the name Chitinophaga sp. RNAcentral's name for it is "bacterial SSU rRNA". Lineage: Bacteria; Pseudomonadati; Bacteroidota; Chitinophagia; Chitinophagales; Chitinophagaceae. The record is from RNAcentral.